AAGAGCCGUAUGCCUUAAUUGGGCACGUACGGAUCUGUGAGGGUUUGCAGGCCCAACCUACAAAAUGGUAGGCCUGCAUUCUACUCGAC
Molecule: non-coding RNA, 89 nt
Filed under: Paenibacillus prosopidis
Lineage: Bacteria; Bacillati; Bacillota; Bacilli; Caryophanales; Paenibacillaceae
Source: RNAcentral